This 490-nucleotide ribosomal RNA is filed under the name Sipunculus polymyotus. RNAcentral's name for it is "partial 16S ribosomal RNA". It matches the Rfam family "Bacterial large subunit ribosomal RNA", at positions 1825 to 2598 of the family's 2925-position model. Lineage: Eukaryota; Metazoa; Annelida; Sipuncula; Golfingiida; Sipunculidae. The record is from RNAcentral.
CGCCUCUUGAAGAAAAAAUAGAAGGUCCAACCUGCCCAGUGAAAUUUUUUCAACGGCCGCGGUAUCCUGACCGUGCUAAGGUAGCGCAAUCACUUGCCCUUUAAUUGGGGGCUAGUAUGAAUGGUCAAACGAGGGUGAAGCUGUCUCCUCUUAGAAAAUAAGAAAUUAUCCUACAUGUGAAGAGACAUGUAUGUUUUAGGAAGACGAGAAGACCCUGUCAAGCUUUUACAGGCAUUGUUUCUAAAACCCUAAAAGCUCUGCCCUGUUUUGUUGGGGCAACACCGGAACAAAAACUUCCGGCCACACCACAUCUUUUAAUUAAUAAGAUCCGACAAAGGUCGAACAAAGAACAAGCUACUGCAGGGAUAACAGGCUAAUCCGUCUCAAGAGCCCACAUUGACAGACGGGAUUGGCACCUCGAUGUUGGCUUAGGGACCCUGGCCGGGGCAGCACCUGGCCAAAGGAGGUUUGUUCAACCUAUGAUUCCCUA